AUGGCCUGGGGCGCGUCACCUGACAGACGACAUCACAACACAACUGCUGCAGCUCACUUACAGAUGUCUGAACGUCUCUCUCUGUGGAAAUCUGGAAGUUUGCUCUACAGUGUGGGCCACUUAUUUUUGCAGCCUGAGAAUGAGUUUUCUGUCACGGCAACCCAGGCAGACAUUGAGGCACAGCAGGUGAUACCAGACACACCCAGGCUCAUUAUGCUUGAGCCUGAGCUGGUGCAGGCGUGCGCAGUGGGUCCCAACACAUCGCUCAGGCAGUCUGCAGUUCUGUUAGAUCCGGUGGAUAAGGAUGGAAAGAAAAUGAGAAUGUGAGCGAGAAUCCUUCUAAGGACACCCUAAGUUCAUGCCAGGCCUUCGCCCUUUACUUUCCAUUCAUCAAGAUCCUCUGACUUAGAAUAGGUCCUUCUCAUCACCUAACUUCAGCCAACCCACUGGAGCUCCAAAAUGCAUCAGGACUCUUUUUCAAACAGACGAGACGUGCAAAUAUCAAACUUAGUCUCAUGAAGUGAUACAUUAAGUAUCAUUUGCACCUUUAACAGAGGUGUGUUUGAUCUGAGAAAAUGAUGUUUCCUUCAGGCUGUAGAUCUGCUGAAUAUCAAAUUUUACCAUAGCUUCAUGUUUUGUUUUUCUCUUCACUUCACUGCUUAAGCUUUAACCCUUUUUCCUUUGCCCACUGUGUGUGUGUAUGCUAGACUAGUUUAUGUGUUUAUGUAGUUAAUAAAGUCUUACUUGUAUCACACUUGAGGUUGUUCAUUGUUUGCUCAUAACUGGAGUCCCUAAUCAUGCAGAUUUUUGCUACAAGCUCUGAGUAAUACAGUAAGAAAGUUAUUUUAACCAGGAAAUUAACAUUCUUAGAAUUGACAGACAGUUGACACUG
This 892-nucleotide long non-coding RNA is filed under the name Carassius auratus (goldfish). RNAcentral describes it as "lncRNA (ENSCARG00000019691.1)". Lineage: Eukaryota; Metazoa; Chordata; Actinopteri; Cypriniformes; Cyprinidae. The record is from RNAcentral.